UGUUUCCGGUCAACAUUUUUAUUUCAAAUAUUGGUUCUAAGGAUAACAUAGGCCCUAAAUUUAGCUAUGGUAAUAGUUUUUCUUCGUAUGAAUGAGUAAAAGUGGUAUAAAAUAUGGAUUAAAGUUGAGGAAAAAUCACGUGACUUAGAAAUGGAUGCUGAUUGGUCUUGACGUGUGAGCGUAGGUACGGAGCCCGCCAACAACAAAAACAAUUGUGUUUCUCCAAGAGUUUGAGGUAGCUGGUUGUACUUAUAGAGGUUUCUAGUCACUAGCAACGUCUGGAAACGUGACUCGUAGUCAUUGGUGCUUCGUGCCGAUGUGCAAGAAUACUGACAAGAGUACUCCAGGGAAGAUAUUUGUGUCUGUGCCAAGUCAUCCAUCUAUAAGAAAAGGCUGGUGGCUCGCAACUUGAUGCGAUUUUCCCAUGUCCAAGGCUCAUAUUUACUGCUGUGAAGAUCAUUUCAACCUAAAAGAAGACAUGGAGAGCUACUUAUAUUACACCAUGAUGGGAGGACACAUCAGGCUACACCCUCACAAGUUCGACUGCCAGGGGAAGAUCACACCUCAGAAUGAGAACAGGGACAGGUUGCAGAGGAAGAGGAAGGUUCUGGAGAUUUUUUCUUCAAAAGAAAACUUAAUGGAACCUCACCAAAUUAAGUGUCCAUAAAGCAUCACCUCAGCCAGACCAUGUGGAUCAGAGGAUGGAGCAUGAUGGGCAUGUUGAUCCUGAGCCACUCACCCCUUCUACACAGGACACUGGAAUACAAGUGCAGGUAUAUCCAAGAAAAAGGUCCAAGGGGGUGCAAGUUCAACCAGUGAAGCCAGAUGCGAUGAACAACACAGAUGGUCACAUGGUGGGCAAGAUGAAGAAAACUGAAAGUACAUCUGAGGAUUCUGUUUCCACAUCACAAAGUAGUCAUGUAGAUCAUGAUAAAAGUAGACUAUGUACCAUUAGACAGUACUUCCAGUAGUGAUGAUGAAGAGAACUUUAAAAAAUUAACUCUGUACACAACAAGAAAAUUAAUACUGAAACAUCCAAUGGAAUACAUUGGACUACACAAGAAGCAUUUGUAUAUUUUAGAUAUUUUGUGUAGUCAUGUAACCUACAAAGAAAGGGGACAAAUUAUUUCAAACAAAGAUGUGGUAUUAAUUAUGCUAAUGACUAUUCGUACAGGAUCACCAGAGUACAUGAUUGCACACAGGUUUGGUGUCAGCAACAGCUGUGUUAGUCGCAUCCUUACUCACUUUCUACCUGUCAUAAGCGGUUGUUUGAAAGAGCUAAUUUUCUGGUCACCAUCCGAGACCAUUAGAACAAGGCUUCCACACUCUUUCAAAGCUUACCAUCAUAAGGUGGAAAGUAUCAUUGAUUGCUUUGAAAUACAGAUAGAAAAGCCAUCCUCUGCCAUGACAAAGAGUAUGACUUGGUCUGAUUACAAGAAAUGUAAUACUGUGAAGUAUCUAGUGUCUGUAACUCCAGAUUGAUUAAUUAAUUUCAUAUCCACUGAUAAGC
Portunus trituberculatus (swimming crab) is the source of this 1510-nucleotide long non-coding RNA. RefSeq lists it as uncharacterized. The record is from RefSeq and is a predicted model, not a curated record. Lineage: Eukaryota; Metazoa; Arthropoda; Malacostraca; Decapoda; Portunidae. The transcript has 4 exons.